UACGUAGGGUGCGAGCGUUCAUCGGAAUUACUGGGCGUAAAGCGUGCGCAGGCGGUUUUGUAAGCCAGAUGUGAAAUCCCCGGGCUUAACCUGGGAAUGGCAUUUGGGACUGCAAGGCUGGAGUGUGGCAGAGGAGACUGGAAUUCCCGGUGUAGCAGUGAAAUGCGUAGAUAUCGGGAGGAAUACCGAUGGCGAAGGCAGGUCUCUGGGCUGACACUGACGCUCAUGCACGAAAGCGUGGGGAGCAAACAGG
This 253-nucleotide ribosomal RNA is filed under the name uncultured bacterium. RNAcentral describes it as "partial 16S ribosomal RNA". It matches the Rfam family "Bacterial small subunit ribosomal RNA", at positions 524 to 776 of the family's 1533-position model. The record is from RNAcentral.